GAGGGAUGAGGAUAUAAUUCCAUACGUCUGCAAAUCUGAAACACAGUGUUGAUACAAUUGACAUGCACUACCAUCUGACCUC
Arabidopsis thaliana (thale cress) is the source of this 82-nucleotide small nucleolar RNA. NCBI's taxonomy places the organism in Eukaryota, Viridiplantae, Streptophyta, Magnoliopsida, Brassicales, Brassicaceae. The record is from RefSeq.